AACGCUAGCUACAGGCUUAACACAUGCAAGUCGAGGGGAAACGACAUCGAAAGCUUGCUUUUGAUGGGCGUCGACCGGCGCACGGGUGAGUAACGCGUAUCCAACCUGCCCAUCACUUGGGGAUAACCUUGCGAAAGUAAGACUAAUACCCAAUGAUAUCCCACGAAGGCAUCCGAAUGGGAUUAAAGAUUUAUCGGUGAUGGAUGGGGAUGCGUCUGAUUAGCUUGUUGGCGGGGUAACGGCCCACCAAGGCUACGAUCAGUAGGGGUUCUGAGAGGAAGGUCCCCCACAUUGGAACUGAGACACGGUCCAAACUCCUACGGGAGGCAGCAGUGAGGAAUAUUGGUCAAUGGGCGAGAGCCUGAACCAGCCAAGUAGCGUGCAGGAUGACGGCCCUAUGGGUUGUAAACUGCUUUUAUGCGGGGAUAAAGUGUACCAUGUAUGGUGUUUUGCAGGUACCGCAUGAAUAAGGACCGGCUAAUUCCGUGCCAGCAGCCGCGGUAAUACGGAAGGUCCGGGCGUUAUCCGGAUUUAUUGGGUUUAAAGGGGGCGUAGGCCGUUUUUUAAGCGUGUUGUGAAAUGCCGCGGCUCAACCGUGGCACUGCAGCGCGAACUGGAUGACUUGAGUGCGCGGGAGGUAGGCGGAAUUCGUGGUGUAGCGGUGAAAUGCUUAGAUAUCACGAAGAACUCCGAUUG
RNAcentral lists this ribosomal RNA (696 nucleotides) under uncultured bacterium. RNAcentral's name for it is "bacterial SSU rRNA". It matches the Rfam family "Bacterial small subunit ribosomal RNA", at positions 32 to 715 of the family's 1533-position model. The record is from RNAcentral.